This is a long non-coding RNA of Phyllostomus hastatus (greater spear-nosed bat), 1725 nucleotides long. RefSeq lists it as uncharacterized. The transcript has 3 exons. The record is from RefSeq and is a predicted model, not a curated record. Lineage: Eukaryota; Metazoa; Chordata; Mammalia; Chiroptera; Phyllostomidae.
UCGGGUACGUGCCGUCCGGUGUCCCCCCCGCCUCGGGCGGAGCGGGGGCCUGGGACGGCCCCGCCCCCGCCGCCCCUGCACCUGCGGGCGGAGGGAACACGGGGCCCCGUCCUGACGUCACCGCCACUCCGACGGAAAAGGACGGACGGCUACUGUGCGAGUUCCAGGAACCCGGAGGCACAGGGCUGCGGCCGUCCGGUGGAUUCCGGGAAGAGAGAAGCGGACCUGUGAGGUGUUGAGAUGGGUCGCGUGGCAGAGAGGGCUCUGGGGACUCGGUGGUCGCUGUACGGAAGAGGAGGGAUCAAGGUCGGCUUGAAGAUUCGCAAUCGGACCUCGGGAGGUGACCUGACCUCCAGGACCUCGGGAGGUGACCUGCUUGGGAGGAGAGGUCGUCACAGAGGUGGGUAAGCUCACACUCAGGCACAAGCCUGCCCUUCCUCUAACUCGGCCAGUGCUGUGUGAAACGGGCAGCCGGGCGCAGGGACCCGCGGAGGUGCAGACGCAGGGAGAAGAGAGCACCUGCGGCCCAGAGAGGCCCGGGGACCCGAGGGUCCCUCUGCCCUCGGGAGCACCAGGCCCUGACGGCGCUGUGACUCGGGCCUCUCAGCCUCCCGAAUGGGAGACGAGGAGUCCCCACCCACGGUGGAGCCACCCAGGCAGCGAAUGGGAGUGUCAUUUUUAUUUGUGAUUCGGAUUCAUCGAGACCCUCGACUCACGACCCAGUGUCAUCCUCGGGCCGGGAAUGCCCAGCUUGGGUUUCGUCAUUGACUUGUUUUUAACGAGGAGCUCACAUCUGCGAAGCCGCCUGCCAGGACACACGCAGGACCGGGAAAUGACUCACGUCCGACCGUCACCCCCCCCCCCACGUCGCCCCCGUCCUCCCCGCCGACAGACAGCCCGAGUCCACGACUCCUCGUGCCCCUGCUCUUCUCUCGGUGCUGCUCCCCGUGGCCCUGCAGCGCCCACGCGAAACCAGCCCCAUGGCUUUGAGGUGCACCAGGGUGCUGUGUGCUGCGUGACCUUGGGGACCGUCUGUCCUGCCCCCGAUCACAUUGCCGCGCUACGUGACGCUCUUGCUGUUUUGAAAUGAAACGUCCCCGUGGCUGCCUGUGCCCCGGAGGCGCACUGACACCCUCGCCCGCCUCCCCAGCUGCGGCUCCCGGUCCCGCCGACAGGCCUGGCUGAGUCCCUGUGUUGCCGGAGGGCGGAGCCUCCUGGGCUGGCGGGCCUGGGGGGGGGACCUGUGGGGCUCACACCUGCAGGGCCUUCCGUCCUCGUUUUCCGUCAUCUCUUCGGUCACUGUGACGCGCAGACACGUGUCCCCAGCAGCCGGCCGGCCUGCUGACCACACGGCACUUCCGUCUGGUCGCCGGCCAGGAGGACAGAAGGGCCCGUGGCUCACGUCGUCGCCGGGAUUUCAAAGGGUGAGUCAGCGUUUACCCGGGGCCGUGAGUAAGUGCCCAAAAUAGCCCUUUCCUUCCCUUGGGAACAGGACGGCCUCGGGGGGCGGGCGGACAGCGCAGAGCCUGGAACCCGCCGACCUUCACAGGGGACCCCAGGCAGGUCACCGAGCCCGGGGGUGCUUAGGUGCCUCCCGACUCUGAGACCGGAGACCGAACUCCGGCCGCCCUCCGCACUCGUGCAAAACCCGACCCCCGGAGCUCUGAGCGGGGCCUGGGGAACCGGCCGUUUCCUGCCCUGUUUCAGGGAAGUUCAGAGGGAACA